GCUGGCUGUUAACGAGGGUCUUUUGGCACAGAGAAGUACUCGUAUCGCUACUCGGUAUCGGUGAGUACCCAAAUGUAAGUACUUGUACUUAAAAAGUGGUAUCGGUGCAUCCCUAGUAGUGGUAUUAGAGGGAGCCAACACUGACAGAAAUAAAGAAAGAAAGAAUAUUGAUGGUGGGCAUGUCGACGGAGAUGGAUGACAGAUUAUUACACAGAUGUUGUUGUUGUCAGGUGUUAAAACGGAGGACGUUCACCUGGACGGAGACCAACAUGAGGAAGAGAAAAGUUGUCAAAGCUGUCAGUAAAUUGGCAGCCACGAUAACGGUGAUAUGGUGAAAAGACUAUUAGACACUUUAUAACGAAAUAUGUUCGUACGAGUGUUUCUUGCACGAGGCCCGCUGUGUGUCUGUAACAGCUUUCGUGUUCAGCUCAUCGCCGCAGGAGGAUAAAUGUGUCUUGACAAGUUGGUUUUGUCACUUUUAGAGUGGUAAUCGCUCCAUCUAGAGCUUCCUCUUCAUUCACAAAUGAUUUAGUGAAGAUGUGAUGGUGUGUUUUGGACGACGACGACAAAGCGAGUGUCCUGUCCAUUUAAAGCUAACUUUUUGCCGGUUUUCUCAUUUUUGCGCUACCGUUGGUCUCCGCCAAGAUGCUUCUGCUACACUUUCAUUGUCUAAAUAAUCUUACUUUUGGAUCGAGCAGCUGUUACUGUAUGAGUAACACAGCGUCCUCUCUCAUUGCUGACCAGUAUUUCCCAGCUCCAGCUCAAAUACCAAUGAUUUUUCUUUACUUCAAGAGAUUUUACGAUGUCUGCUUCAGUUUUUGAGAUCAGAUUUUGCACAGCUGAUUAAAUCUUUAUCGCAUUUAAUGAUCAUUUUGAAAGUCAUCUCACUCCUUUUUUUUUUUUUUUUUAACUUUUAAAUGAGUAGUUUGACAUUUUUAGGAAUAUGCUCAUUAGCUUUCUUGCUGAUAGUUGGAUGAGCAGAUUGAUACCACUCUCAAAUAUCUUCCGGUUAAAUAUAAAGAUACAGCCAGUAGCCGCUUAGCUUAGCUUAGCAUAAAGACUGGAAAUGGGGAAACAGCUAGCCUGGCUCUGUCCAAAGGUAACCAAAUCCACCUACCCGCACCUCAUGUUAACGUGUUAUAUCUUGUCUAUUUCAUUUGUACAAAGUGUAAAAACGACAAGUUGUGGUUUUCACAGAAAUAGCUCAGCACAAAACAACUCGUAGUUUUUAUGUCUUGUUUUUGUAGGUGUGUGUGUGAAUGUCGGAUUGCUGUUUUCGGAAAGUUACAGAAAUGGUCGGACACGGAAAGGUGUGAUGGGAGAGGGUUUCCGAACUUAUCCGACCAUCCGACAUGUUCUGAAGCACACUGGCAGCUUUAUCUGUCUGUCUGUUCGUCUUUACCAUACAGACAUGAGAGUGAUAUCGAUCUUCUCAUCUAUAGGGCCUUUUCACACCUUCAUCGUUUGAUCUUGGUUUAGGCGGUGACGACAGGUCGUAGGUGGUGACGACGGCAGGACUUAGGAGUUGGCGACAGGACAUAGGUGAUGACAACAGGACAUAAGCAGUGAUGACAGGACGUAAACGUUGAUGACAGAACCUAGGUGACAUCGACAGGACGUAGGCGUUGGCGACAGGACCUAGGAUUGGGCGACAGGACAUAGGCGUUGACUACAGGACCUAGGCUGUGGCGACAGGACCUAGGCUUUGGCGACAGGACCUAGGAUUGGGCGACAGGACCUAGGAUUGGGCGACAGGCCGUUGGCGUUGGCGACAGGCCGUUGGCGUUGUAGACAGGCCGUUGGCGACAGGCCGUUGGCGUUGGCGACAGGCCUUAGGCGUUGUCGACAGGCCUUAGGCGUUGGCGACAGGACAUAGGCGUUGGCGACAGGACCUAGGCUUUGGGGACAGGACCUAGGCGUUGACGACAGGGCCUAGGCGAGGUCGACAGGGCCUAGGCGAGGUCGACAGGAUGUAGGCGAUGACGAGUGGACAUAGACGACGACAGGACAUAGACGAUGACGACAGGACGUAAACAAUGACGACAGGACGUAAACAAUGACGACAGGACGUACGCGAUGACGACACGACUUGGGGAAACGAUGACAGGACGCAGGCGAUGACGACAGCAUGUAGGUGAAGACGACAGGACGUAGACGACAGGACAUAGGUACGUCAUGUUGAGGUCUGUAGUGCGCUCGCAUCAUUGCAACGUGAAACCAAAACUAACCGGAUCAAAUGUUACAAUGGAACAAAAACACAAACCUUGGUUCGGACUUUCAGGUGUGAAAAAGCCCAAAUUCUCAGCAAGAAAGUUAACGAGCAGAUUUCCUAAAAUAUCGAACAAAUGCUUUAAAAAGAAACGUCCGUUGUUGGUGCCCUGAGCUCAGCAGGAGUCCUCUCAGGUGCUGUUUGGAGCAGAAACUCACAAAGUAUUUUACCAGACGGUGAAAAGCAUGAAACCGGUGUAAUGUUUUGAAUUUAUUUCAUGUAUUUCCACAGCAUCUUUAAGGCACUUUAGAACCAUUAAAACAGCAAACAGCUCAGUGUCGCGUAGGUUUUUAAUGAAGGAUAACGGCACCCCUUUUUUUUUUUUUCACCGUCAUCUUUUCCAAAAUAUCUAAAGCUUGAUCUGAACUGCCAAUUUCCUCGUACGAGUGUUGUGGUUAAAAAAAAAAAUCUUUAAAAGUCAGAAUAUAAGAGCGCAGAGAGGUUUCAUCCCUGUAAAAUGCAACCAGGUUAGCAUGUACUGUUUAAAGUAGCUUUGCAGAAGUCAAAGUCUCCGUUUCCUCCAUUUUUUAGGGCACGCAUCUCGUCUCACUUUAAUCCAAAUGUAUAAAAGAUAAACUGUAAGCAUAGAGGUUUUUGUUUUGUUUUGUUUUGUUUUUUUUAAAUAAUGAAGAGUUAUUUUUGGAAUCAUUGGUAUAAAAGUUUUAAUGAAACACAAUAAGAGUUCAUAUUUUUGAUAGGACAAUAGGCUACAUUCAUUUUGCAGAUUGUGUAGCAGGUUCAUUGAAGCACUGAGAGGAAGAAAAAAAAAAACACUAGACAGUUUAAUUCCAGAAAUAAACAAAUCUAAUAUAUAAUUUUUUUGUCAUAAGGUGGAAAAUAUCUAAUCCUAAGAUUCAAUGCAUAAAGAAUGUGUAGUUAUUGGUGUAAAAAUCAGCCAGUUUAUUUACUUCUUAUGUUGAUUUUAAGAUGUCUUGAUGCUCAGAGAUGAGACAUUUGAUAUUUAGUGGCUCGGUAAUAAAUCUCUAUUGAAAUAAUCAA
Molecule: long non-coding RNA, 3268 nt
Organism: Sebastes umbrosus (honeycomb rockfish)
Lineage: Eukaryota; Metazoa; Chordata; Actinopteri; Perciformes; Sebastidae
Exons: 2
Source: RefSeq, a predicted model, not a curated record